AAGAAAACUCAUUCUCUUUUCUACUGUCAGGUUCAUGUAAUUACCCCCGGAAGGCUGGAAAAACAUAGGUUCUACUGAACUGGAAUAGUUCAAGUAAAUUUGUCUUUGGUUUAAUGGUGUCUAGUUUUCUUAUUAUGUCAGUUCUUUAUGAAUAAAUGACGUCUUUCAUUAGUGUGCAUUGCUCUUUUUGACUGCUUAAAAAUGUUAUACCUGGCUCGACUAGGUACUUGGCAAGACUCUAAUCUCA
Molecule: unclassified non-coding RNA, 247 nt
Filed under: Hevea brasiliensis (rubber tree)
Lineage: Eukaryota; Viridiplantae; Streptophyta; Magnoliopsida; Malpighiales; Euphorbiaceae
Source: RNAcentral